AAGUGAUCUACCCCUGUAUCUGGGAUAACUGUGGGAAACUGCAGCUAAUACCGGAUACGUUCAUGUUCUUGCGAGUAUAUGAAGAAAGAUGGCCUCUGAUUCAAGCUAUUGUACAGGGAGGAGCUUGCGUACCAUUAGCUAGUUGGUAGGGUAAUGGCCUACCAAGGCAACGAUGGUUAGCGGGUCUGAGAGGAUGAUCCGCCACACUGGAACUGAAACACGGACCAGACUCCUACGGGAGGCAGCAGUGAGGAAUAUUGCGCAAUGGGGGAAACCCUGACGCAGCGACGCCGCGUGGAUGAUGAAGGCCUUCGGGUCGUAAAAUCCUGUCAGAUGGGAAGAAGUGUGUGGUGGUUAAUACCCGCCACAUUUGACGGUACCAUCAGAGGAAGCACCGGCUAACUCCGUGCCAGCAGCCGCGGUAAUACGGAGGGUGCAAGCGUUGUUCGGAAUUACUGGGCGUAAAGCGCGCGUAGGCGGCUUGUUAAGUCAGAUGUGAAAGCCCACGGCUCAACCGUGGACGUGCAUUUGA
RNAcentral lists this ribosomal RNA (532 nucleotides) under uncultured Desulfocapsa sp. RNAcentral describes it as "bacterial SSU rRNA". It matches the Rfam family "Bacterial small subunit ribosomal RNA", at positions 119 to 630 of the family's 1533-position model. Lineage: Bacteria; Pseudomonadati; Thermodesulfobacteriota; Desulfobulbia; Desulfobulbales; Desulfocapsaceae. The record is from RNAcentral.